GACGAACGCUGGCGGCGUGCUUAACACAUGCAAGUCGAACGGAAAGGCCCUGCUUUUGUGGGGUGCUCGAGUGGCGAACGGGUGAGUAACACGUGAGUAACCUGCCCUUGACUUUGGGAUAACUUCAGGAAACUGGGGCUAAUACCGGAUAGGAGCUCCUGCUGCAUGGUGGGGGUUGGAAAGUUUCGGCGGUUGGGGAUGGACUCGCGGCUUAUCAGCUUGUUGGUGGGGUAGUGGCUUACCAAGGCUUUGACGGGUAGCCGGCCUGAGAGGGUGACCGGCCACAUUGGGACUGGGAUACGCCCCAGACUCCUACGGGAGGCAGCAGUGGGAAAUAUUGCACAAUGGGCGGAAGCCUGAUGAAGCAACGCCGCGGGCGGGAUGACGGCCUUCGGGUUGUAAACCGCUUUCGCCUGUGACGAAGCGUGAGUGACGGUAAUGGGUAAAGAAGCACCGGCUAACUACGUG
RNAcentral lists this ribosomal RNA (468 nucleotides) under uncultured bacterium. Its description in RNAcentral is "partial 16S ribosomal RNA". It matches the Rfam family "Bacterial small subunit ribosomal RNA", at positions 28 to 507 of the family's 1533-position model. The record is from RNAcentral.